UGUUUUUCCUCCCGAUUAUUAUUGACUCUAAUAAUAGCCAUAUUCAUUCAGAAUCUCAGGUAUUAAUUGACAGGUCGGCGGUUCGCUGUCACCCAAUUUUAGUUAAAAAAAGUAGUAUAAUUAACAAACAAAUCUUUAAAUCUGUAAAUACCUAGGUACUAUUACGGCAUUAAAAUGUGUUACUGUAACCCCUGGUGUUAUAUAACAGCUGCAAUACUGACAAUUAUACAAUGUUUCUUUCACUGGUUAGUAUGCAUUUGGAUAAUACUCGUUUACACAUGUCAAUACUCCAUGUUAGGAAAAAGUUACUUGUUAACAUUAUGGUAUUUCACAUAUUUUUACAGAAAUCAGUGCACGAACGCAACUACUGCAUCAUUUGUAAGAACACUAACAAUUGUAAUAAAUAAAGAUAUUGAAGAAUUGUACGACUUUUCUAGCUCUGCGCCUGUAGCGUCUAUGACCUAUUUUGUUGCCGUUGUAUAUGCUGUAUUGGAUAUCGUUUGGAUAUGUGCGGCAGUAUUUCUUAUAGGUAAACUAGAAAAGGUACCUAUAGUUGGAACGUUCAAAAUUGGUGUAGUCGUAAUAAAUUAUCUGUGAGAAUGGACAUAUCAUCUUUCUUGUUUCCACUUGGGUUUGCUGCGUUUUGAACAGACCUUGUUAAGAUAGGAAGUGCUUCAUGAGGGGUACAGACAAAAUAAAAAGAGAUAACUGAAUAAUAGGAAUAAUACUUAGGUACUCAAAAAAUCUUUAUAACUGCCUGGUUGAAAUUAUACUUUUUUGUCAUAUUUGCGAGCUAUGAAAUAAGGAAGAUAUGGUCUUUCUUGAGCCGUUUUUCAAUCGGGAAGCCAUGAAAUUAGUCAUUGUGCGCAUGCUCUGAAGUUUAUAGACCUGCGCAGAAAUCAGUUAUUCAAUUUCACUCACAUACAAUGACUUCCUAACCUCUAAAUAAUUUACUCUUAUUUCGUCAAC
This is a long non-coding RNA of Agrilus planipennis (emerald ash borer), 969 nucleotides long. RefSeq lists it as uncharacterized. Lineage: Eukaryota; Metazoa; Arthropoda; Insecta; Coleoptera; Buprestidae. The record is from RefSeq and is a predicted model, not a curated record. The transcript has 3 exons.